Carassius auratus (goldfish) is the source of this 1738-nucleotide long non-coding RNA. NCBI's taxonomy places the organism in Eukaryota, Metazoa, Chordata, Actinopteri, Cypriniformes, Cyprinidae. The record is from Ensembl.
AUCAACUAAUGUUUUUAACUGCUCUUCCAUUAUCUUUGUGAGGUUGUGGAGGUUGUAUAUGAUGCUUGUUCUGAGAGUGGAGGGGAAAAUGCUGCCCUUAUAUAGAUUGCAUGCAGCAUCUUCAGAGAAUGGUUAAGCUUAGUGGUAAGAGCAUUGCAUUAACAACGAAAGGUUGUGGGUUCGAUCUCAGGUGAUUGCACAUACUUAUGUAUAAAUGUAUAGGAUAAUGCAAUGUAAUAUACUACUGUUUACUACUGAUUUGUUUUGAUUUUUGUAUAGGUACAUGAUGUGGGUCAGGGCGGUUUGGAAAGAGCCAAAUGGAGAGGAGGAGGGAGUCAUCCCCGAGGUUUGGGUGAAGGACAACAUGGUACACUGGCCACCAGGGGCUAAUGUAACUAAAGCAGCUAAAGAGAUGCGAACGCCAACAAGUAGCUGGAAAAUGUUUCCACUGCUGAAAAUCAAAUUCAAGUCAAAUAAUCAGGAAGAGUGUGAAGCCUUCGACCAAACAAGUACUGCAGAGAUCAGUGAGGAAGAAUGUGGUCCUGUCAAGAGGGUAUCAAAGAAAAAAAUAUACCCAGGGUUUAUUUUAGAUGAGGAUGAGCAUGAAAGCAGGACGAAGCGGAUCGGUCUGUCCUUUCCAAAACCACCAAGGAUUCAAGAAAUGUCUAGCCAGGCAUUAGGAUCAGAAGAAAAUGAUUAUAAAUCCAGGUCCAGGAGUCCAUUCCAUGACUCUCUGCUCCAAAGUUCUCGCUCUCUAUCCCAGUGGUCCCACACUCCCAGCCACAGCACUGUACGCCAACAGUCCCACACUCCGCACCACAGCACUUCACACGAGAGGUCCCACACUCUGCGCCACACCACUUCACGCCACCGGUCCCAAUCUCCAACCCACAGCACCCCACGCCAGCGGUCCCGCACGCCACACCACACCACUUCAUGCCACCAGUACCAGUCUCCAACCCACAGCACCCCACGCCAGCGGUCCCGCACGCCACACCACACCACUUCAUGCCACCAGUACCAGUCUCCAACCCACAGCACCCCACGCCAGCGGUCCCGCACUCCACGCCACCGGUCCAAAUCUCCGACUCGCAGCACCCCACGCCAGUGGUCCCGCACUCCACGCCACAGCUAUUCACGCCCACGGGACAGCUCUCCACACCAGCGCUCCAGCUCUUCUUAUGAGUGCUCCCAAAGACCAGCUAGGGAAAACCAGCACAGAGAGGGUGGAGAGCUAUUCCCAUUAGAUAAUGGAAAAUUCCAAAGGCGGGUCCUUUAUCUUCUUUCUGAUAUUCGGGCAAAGCUGUCAGAGGUGGGCCAAAACCGUGAGCCCCCAGAGUCUCAGUUCCACCUUGAGAAAAUGAACAGCAGGCGUGAGCUAAAAAAUCUGGAAGGGCAACUGGCCGUUGAAGAAAAGAGGAAUGUGAUGGUGUCUCGGUUAGUCAGGAUUGGGGGUGCAGACCUUGAGGACUGUGUAAAAAAUAUGAUGAAAAGAGUUCUUACCAACAGAUUGAUGGCAACAAUGAACAUGGAUGGCUCAGGGGUGAAGAAGGCCUUUGGAAAAACACGGCUAUGCCGUGUUAUGAUAGGUGCUGUACAGCAGUCGAAACCUUCUGCGUCAGAGGCCGAAAUAAAGAAAUACAUGGGCAGCUAUCUCCGGUCUGCUCCUGAUAGAUAUGGGGGUAUGGGACGGCAAAAGGGGAAAUCGGCCAUUGAGGUCUGUUCAGACUCUGAAUAA